RNAcentral lists this ribosomal RNA (253 nucleotides) under uncultured bacterium. Its description in RNAcentral is "partial 16S ribosomal RNA". It matches the Rfam family "Bacterial small subunit ribosomal RNA", at positions 524 to 776 of the family's 1533-position model. The record is from RNAcentral.
UACAGAGGUCCCGAGCGUUGUUCGGAUUCACUGGGCGUAAAGGGUGCGUAGGUGGCAUGGUAAGUUUGAUGUGAAAGCUCAGGGCUCAACCCUGAAAUGGCAUUGAAUACUAUCGUGCUGGAGGUUUGGAGGGGGGACUGGAAUUCCCGGUGUAGCGGUGAAAUGCGCAGAUAUCGGGAAGAACACCCGUGGCGAAGGCGGCUCUCUGGGACGGUACUGACGCUGAGACGCGAAAGCGUGGGGAGCGAACAGG